GCGGUUGUGGCUUAGUGGUAGAGUGUUUGCCUCACAUGUUUGAAGGAAGCACUGAGUUCAAUUCUCAGCACCGCA
Molecule: non-coding RNA, 75 nt
Organism: Ictidomys tridecemlineatus (thirteen-lined ground squirrel)
Lineage: Eukaryota; Metazoa; Chordata; Mammalia; Rodentia; Sciuridae
Source: Rfam